AACGAACGCUGGCGGCAGGCCUAACACAUGCAAGUCGAGCGAUCCUUUCGGGGAUAGCGGCGGACGGGUGAGUAACGCGUGGGAACGUACCCUUUGCUACGGAAUAGCCCCGGGAAACUGGGAGUAAUACCGUAUGUGCCCUCUGGGGGAAAGAUUUAUCGGCAAAGGAUCGGCCCGCGUUGGAUUAGGUAGUUGGUGGGGUAAUGGCCUACCAAGCCGGCGAUCCAUAGCUGGUUUGAGAGGAUGAUCAGCCACACUGGGACUGAGACACGGCCCAGACUCCUACGGGAGGCAGCAGUGGGGAAUCUUAGACAAUGGGGGCAACCCUGAUCUAGCCAUGCCGCGUGAGUGAUGAAGGCCCUAGGGUUGUAAAGCUCUUUCAGCUGGGAAGAUAAUGACGGUACCAGCAGAAGAAGCCCCGGCUAACUCCGUG
Molecule: ribosomal RNA, 433 nt
Filed under: uncultured bacterium
Lineage: Bacteria
Description: bacterial SSU rRNA
Rfam family: Bacterial small subunit ribosomal RNA
Source: RNAcentral